UGCGGAUAUGAUAUAAACUUCAGUGUCACUACAUUUACAAUUCAUAUGAUAAACAAUAAUGGCCCAUAGCUCGUACAUGUACAAUAUGAAUGUUAGAAGGUCCACCACACUUUCCCGCUCCAUCCUUGCUACAGCUAAGAGAGAGAAUAGGCAUACAAUGUGUUAUCCUUGCAAUAUGAGAAGCAAAGUACAGAGCCACAACGGUAUUUCAAGUAAGCAUAAGAGAGAGAAUAUAUUGCAUUACUUCUAUAAGGAAUAUAAUGGUUCCAAUGAAUUGGUAUCCAGGUUUGACUACUUUUAUAAGAAACUUAUUUCCUGUAGUGUGUUGACACUUGAAGAAACAUGUUUCAUGUAAUCUAGACACUUGAAGAAGGCAACUGUAUAUGAAGCUCUGCAAUUCCCUCAUUGGUCCUGACAUAUUGGAUCCUUCGCCAUGCAUCCUGGGUUCAGGGGCUCAUUCUUUCCAAGAAAUUACAAAAAUCUUCUUGCUUCAGUUGCUUGUUACCUGUCAUACAACGUGUCAUCUCAUUCCAAAAUAUACUGAAGGCCUAAUAGACAUGGUUUGCAUGAGUUUAUCCAUUGCUUGCAUCUGUAUGUACAUACUGACAUGGAGUAACUCCUCUCUCAGUGAAUUUCAGAAAAGGGUCAUUUGGCGAUGACUCAUGUGAGCUGUGUUCAAGCCAGUUGACCAAUGCUGCAGCUAAAUCAUGUUUGGAGAAAGUAACCAUGAUGAUAUAUAGGUUAGAAACAAAAUAGAAGCCAAUUUUUAAGAUAAAACAUGGUAAACAUGAUAAACAUGGUAUUAGCACAACUGGAGCAAAGAUCACAACAUGGAAAAAUGAUCAUCAUUAUAGAUAAAAAAUAGGAUGGGUGAAUAAAAUAAUUAUUUCUCCUCAAUUUGACAUAGCAGAGCACGAGUACACCCAAAUAGAUACAUAAUUUUCCUGCUUUCCAUACUACCUAGAUAAUUAGAAUUGCUUGAAGGCAAAGUCUGUAAGAAAGGAAUAUGUAGAAAUUAGAAAACCAACAUAAAGUAAUCUGACAUUGUUCUAACCUUACGAAUUGAGGUGCAUUAGUAAGAAAAGUGAAACUUCUUACCCUGUUGCUUGCACAAGUAGCAGGCUUUCCUAGGUUUGAAUCACUCCAAGAAAUCAAUGGGUAAAUUGCGGCAGCUGCUUUGUUAUGCUAAUUGUGCGGAAGUACGAAGUGGUUAAGACAUCGACAUAGGGACGGAUUGCAUCACAAAUUCGACAACCAACAACGACAGGAGCACAUCUCUGAAGAAAGCACAAAUCCACAAUGUGAUCUCUACUCUCUGAUAGCCGGUGG
RNAcentral lists this long non-coding RNA (1329 nucleotides) under Triticum aestivum (bread wheat). RNAcentral's name for it is "long non-coding RNA (TAES_LNC010574)". The record is from RNAcentral. Lineage: Eukaryota; Viridiplantae; Streptophyta; Magnoliopsida; Poales; Poaceae.